AGCGGGUUGCCUCGCAUGGCGAUUUUGGGCAACGGGUCAGGGGCGGAAGUCAGCAGCCCACCUGAAAAAGCCAGUGCCGAGAUUACAGCUCGCUACC
RNAcentral lists this signal recognition particle RNA (97 nucleotides) under Alysiella filiformis. RNAcentral's name for it is "signal recognition particle sRNA small type". It matches the Rfam family "Bacterial small signal recognition particle RNA". Rfam says of the family: The signal recognition particle (SRP) is a universally conserved ribonucleoprotein involved in the co-translational targeting of proteins to membranes. Archaeal SRP consists of a 7S RNA and homologues of the eukaryotic SRP19 and SRP54 proteins. In most bacteria, the SRP consists of a 4.5S RNA and the Ffh protein (a homologue of the eukaryotic SRP54 protein). The record is from RNAcentral. Lineage: Bacteria; Pseudomonadati; Pseudomonadota; Betaproteobacteria; Neisseriales; Neisseriaceae. RNAcentral also lists the same sequence under 1 other name.